Molecule: long non-coding RNA, 1111 nt
Filed under: Felis catus (domestic cat)
Lineage: Eukaryota; Metazoa; Chordata; Mammalia; Carnivora; Felidae
Description: lncRNA (ENSFCAG00000051723.1)
Source: RNAcentral
AUGGAGAAGCUGAAACCUACAGGCUGUACAGAGGUAUCUCAGGUCAUACCUUUGGUUCAAAUAAAACCCAGAACAGAAGAACUGGAAAGACUGCAGAUUCCAGCAAAAUUAGUGCAGUGGACAUUCUUAGACACUGAUUCUACUAGGAAGGCAAAACGGAGAAUUGAGGGAAUCAUACAGAAAAUUCAGGAAAAAGCAAGCCUGUGUUCUCCACACGGAUUGAGUUUUACAGUUCUAUUUGUCCAGGUAAUUACCUCAAUUGUCCUCCUCUCUCUGUAAGUGAACACUCCUCAUCAUACAGAUAUAAGUAUCUUCUCUCUCUUUCUCUCUCUCUCUCUCUCUCUGUUUUAGAGAGAGAAAGGAAUGUGAGAGAGUGGGGGAGAGUGGCGAUGGGGGGGUUGGAGAGAGAGAGAGAGAGAGAGAGAGAGAAUCACAGGCAAGCUCCAUGCUCAGCAUGGAGUCCAAUACAGUUCAGGAUCAUGACCCAAGCUGAAAUACAGAGUCAGACACUCAACGAGCCACCCAGGUGCCCAGAUGUAUGUACAUUCCAAGUUCAGUUCAAUAUAACUGAGAUGCUUCUGAAUGUCUGUCCCAAGAAAGAAAAGACUUUGUCUUCUGUAUUACUGUAAGCCCAGCACCUGAACAAUGCCUAGUAUUCCAUAGGCACUCCAUAAAUAUUUGUUGAAUGAAUCGAUGAAUGAAAAAAUAAGCCAAAGAAUGGAUAACAUUUCUCCAUUCAUGAAUUUGUCUUUCAUGACGAUCAAAUAACUGCAACUGAGUUGCCGUAUGGAAACUUAAGGAAAACUUUUAUUUAUGAACUCCACUCUCAGCUCAGUUGACUGUGCAUUGAAAUUUCUCAUACUUGCACUUACCUCUUAAAACUAUAUGAACAUAUCAUGCUAUCAUUGCUAGAUUAUAAAUGAUAAAAUUCCAGCAGUAUGACUCCUGUCUGUCCCUAUCAGGAAAAGUUGCUCAUCUAUUUGGAGCCUGUUUGGCUGUAAAACCUCUGUAUAUUAAAUUCUAAAUCCACUUAAUUAGCUUCUCUAAUCUUCAUUAUAUAAAACUCAGUCCCAUCUGAUGGGAAUAUAAAAUAAAAACAACCUCUCUGACA